AUGUCCAGGUCCGAAUCCCACUUGGCCUUCUUCGGCUGCUCUUCCUUGCCAUUGCCGGAAGAUGCCAAUUGGCGAAUGCAUCAGCCCACGGAAGCAGCGGGGAGGCUUCUCUUUUCGGAGAAAAAAAAGGCGGCCUUGCUGCGGUGCGAGUGGCCGCACGGGUUGGAGCCAAUGGGUGGUCGUGGCCUUCACGAUCUGGUCCAGAUCUGCAAUCACUCACCACUCGAAAGAUGCCCUGAAGUAACUUCAACAUAUGAAGGUGUUGAGAUUGUCGUACUGCACAGAGCUUCAAUCUUUACCGGGUCUGUCACCCUCACUGAAAACACUUCAUAUCUUUGGGUGCCACCCAGCGUUGUCCAGUCUGUCAAGAAACAGGAACGGGAAUUAUGUUGGGAAGAUUGCAAUUGUACCUAG
Molecule: ribosomal RNA, 414 nt
Filed under: Triticum aestivum (bread wheat)
Lineage: Eukaryota; Viridiplantae; Streptophyta; Magnoliopsida; Poales; Poaceae
Description: partial small subunit ribosomal RNA
Source: RNAcentral